Non-coding RNA from Biomphalaria glabrata, 56 nucleotides. Lineage: Eukaryota; Metazoa; Mollusca; Gastropoda; Planorbidae. The record is from Rfam.
UGGCUGAGCGGUAAAGCACUGGGCUUCCGAACCGAGGUCCCGGGUUCGAAUCCCGA